Molecule: long non-coding RNA, 849 nt
Organism: Cervus elaphus (red deer)
Lineage: Eukaryota; Metazoa; Chordata; Mammalia; Artiodactyla; Cervidae
Exons: 3
Source: RefSeq, a predicted model, not a curated record
CAUUGUGAGGGAACCUCUGAGCUUUUUGCUGCCCUCUUAGAUUGGGAAAGGGGACUCUGGGGGGAGAGAAACUGCCUCCUAAUUUCUUUCAUCAUGUGUUCAGAAUUCAGCUGUGUUUGUUUUAUUGCCUGCAGUGGGUUUCUCUGGAUUCUGUGUAGUGACAAUAUUUUACUUUUGACAACAAUCUACCAGAUGGAGGAUCCAUGCUAAGUUAUUUAAGGAUUUUCAUUAAAGAAUAAGAUACAGAAACAAGGAGAAAGAGGGAGAGAGAAUCCCAAGACUGAGCCCUGAAACCAUCCAUCAUUCACAGGUAGAGACUCACCCAGGAGACUGAGGAGGGAGAGAAUGUGCAGUCACAGAAGUGCAGGAGAAGCUGGAACCCAUGCCUCUGAGAGGCUGGUAAGUUGAAGACAGAAGAGUACCAAUUGGAUUCAGCAAAGACAGGUGACUUAGGAAAAGCAUUAUUUUAAAGAGAAAGAGAUUGAAAUCUUUUAAAGAUGUGUUGAGCAGAGAACUGUGUCUGAAGGUGUGAGAAAGUGGUUGUACACAACUCCUGUGAGAAAUUUUGCUGUGAGGAGGAACAGAAAAUAGGAAAAGAAGUAACUGCAGGACUAUAACCCUUGAGGAGGCACUCAUCCACACUGUGAACUGUUCAAUAGCCAGUCUAAAAAUAGACUGAGUAACAUGGGUGAGCUGAUGUUGUCAGUAUCUGCCCUGGUGCCUUCCCUGUCACCCUAGCUUCACUUCCUGCAACUCUGCCUGAGGGCUUUGUCUGCCACCAGAGUCAGCUCUGCUAAAGUACAAGGCAGCCAGGAGUGAUGGGGAAUUCAACGUCUUCCUCGGCUCUCC